Molecule: ribosomal RNA, 465 nt
Filed under: Vreelandella stevensii
Lineage: Bacteria; Pseudomonadati; Pseudomonadota; Gammaproteobacteria; Oceanospirillales; Halomonadaceae
Description: partial 16S ribosomal RNA
Rfam family: Bacterial small subunit ribosomal RNA
Source: RNAcentral
CCUACGGGAGGCAGCAGUGGGGAAUAUUGGACAAUGGGGGGAACCCUGAUCCAGCCAUGCCGCGUGUGUGAAGAAGGCCCUCGGGUUGUAAAGCACUUUCAGUGAGGAAGAACGCCUGGUGGUUAAUACCCAUCAGGAAAGACAUCACUCACAGAAGAAGCACCGGCUAACUCCGUGCCAGCAGCCGCGGUAAUACGGAGGGUGCGAGCGUUAAUCGGAAUUACUGGGCGUAAAGCGCGCGUAGGUGGCUUGAUAAGCCGGUUGUGAAAGCCCCGGGCUCAACCUGGGAACGGCAUCCGGAACUGUCAAGCUAGAGUGCAGGAGAGGAAGGUAGAAUUCCCGGUGUAGCAGUGAAAUGCGUAGAGAUCGGGAGGAAUACCAGUGGCGAAGGCGGCCUUCUGGACUGACACUGACACUGAGGUGCGAAAGCGUGGGUAGCAAACAGGAUUAGAUACCCUAGUAGUC